CCUACGGGAGGCUGCAGUGAGGAAUAUUGGUCAAUGGACGCAAGUCUGAACCAGCCAUGCCGCGUGCAGGAAGACGGCUCUAUGAGUUGUAAACUGCUUUUGUACGAGGGUAAACGCAGAUACGCGUAUCUGUCUGAAAGUAGCGUACGAAUAAGGAUCGGCUAACUCCGUGCCAGCAGCCGCGGUAAUACGGAGGAUUCAAGCGUUAUCCGGAUUUAUUGGGUUUAAAGGGUGCGUAGGCGGUCGGUUAAGUUAGAGGUGAAAUCCCGAGGCUCAACUUCGGAAUUGCCUCUGUUACUGUUCGGCUAGAGCGUACUUGCGGUAUGCGGAAUGUGUGGUGUAGCGGUGA
RNAcentral lists this ribosomal RNA (349 nucleotides) under uncultured bacterium. RNAcentral's name for it is "partial 16S ribosomal RNA". It matches the Rfam family "Bacterial small subunit ribosomal RNA", at positions 338 to 684 of the family's 1533-position model. The record is from RNAcentral.